Molecule: long non-coding RNA, 722 nt
Organism: Mustela erminea (ermine)
Lineage: Eukaryota; Metazoa; Chordata; Mammalia; Carnivora; Mustelidae
Exons: 4
Source: RefSeq, a predicted model, not a curated record
UCAGAGAAAGGUGUCUGCGGCCCAUGGCUUCCUCCUCGUAGAGCCUGAAGGCUUUGUCUAAGGAUCCACGGGGAAAGAUUUCCACUCCCUGGGUUGGGUGAAGCUCUUUACAUGUGACCACAGGGCUGCAGUUGAUGAGUUGAUGUGAGGGUUUUUAAGAAUCACGAGACCUACAGGACAACAUGAGCAAGGGGAGUGAGCAAAUCGGAAGCUAGAAGGCAGGCAGGCUGAGGAACCCGGAUGGCAGAGGAAGAGAAGAAGAACGCAGGGUUUGCUUGCUCACUCUGUUCCAGUGACCUUGGGGCCCUGCAGGGCAGCCCGUGGAGGAGCUGCUCCAUCUGGUGUGAUGGUGACACUGAAGUGUUAAAUCAAGCAUGGGUGUCCUCAGGGGUGCAGGGCCCUGGACACCGAUGCAUUUCUCUCCCUCGCCCCCAGUCAUGGUGGCCACCCUGGUGCUGGGUUCUAGGCCCCUGGAUUCAGCCUCAGCUUGGUGACACUGUGACCAUAGAUUGCAAAGUCUAAGGGCCUCCUACCCAAAAUCUCUCUCUUUCUUCCUGAGGUAACACGUCUUGUUUGGGAAAAACCAGGUCAGGACAUAGAGCUUACAAAACACAGAGGGGGGGUGGAGGGCGGGCGACAGAGAGGAAAUGGGUUUGACCCCUAAUGGGACCUUUGGGGGGCUGGAGCACCACCCCCCGCCCCAUCCUCCCGCAAGGACACAG